GGUCCAGGCACUCAGGAUUGCUGCAGGAAGGCAGGUAUAUUGUAACCAAAUUGUAAAAAAAAAAAAUGUUACGAUAAACUUGCCUUCCUACAGCAAUCCUGAGUGCCUGGACU
Pelobates cultripes (western spadefoot toad) is the source of this 113-nucleotide non-coding RNA. The record is from the annotation of a GenBank genome assembly. NCBI's taxonomy places the organism in Eukaryota, Metazoa, Chordata, Amphibia, Anura, Pelobatidae.